RNAcentral lists this ribosomal RNA (350 nucleotides) under Aglaophenia kirchenpaueri. RNAcentral describes it as "SSU rRNA". It matches the Rfam family "Eukaryotic small subunit ribosomal RNA", at positions 82 to 427 of the family's 1831-position model. Lineage: Eukaryota; Metazoa; Cnidaria; Hydrozoa; Leptothecata; Aglaopheniidae. The record is from RNAcentral.
UGAAACUGCGAAUGGCUCAUUAAAUCAGUUAUUGUUUACUUGAUUGUACAAUGCUUACAUGGAUAUCUGUGGUAAUUCUAGAGCUAAUACAUGCGAAAGGUCCCGACCUCUGGAAGGGAUGUAUUUAUCAGCUUUAAAACCAAUGGAGUCCUUGUGGCUCGCAUUAGUGAUGAAUCAUGAUAACUGUUCGAAUCGCAGGGUCUUGCACCGGCGAUGUUUCUUUCAAAUUUCUGCCCUAUCAACUGUCGAUGGUACGGUAGUGGCGUACCAUGGUUGUAACGGGUAACGGAGAAUCAGGGUUCGGUUCCGGAGAGGGAGCCUGAGAAACAGCGUAUAUUAAAGUUGUUGCA